CAAGGUUUCCGUAGGUGAACCUGCGGAAGGAUCAUUAAUGAAUUGAAAGGGAGUUGAUGCUGGCCAGGUCUCUGGCAUGUGCUCGCUUCCGACAAUCUUAUCCAUACACCUGUGCACACUGUGAGGGCAUGCAAGUGCCCUUAUUUACUACAUACACCUAAUAUGGAAAUCGCACGUGACUUGCGUCGUAUGGCGCUUAAAACUAAAAACAACUUUUAACAACGGAUCUCUUGGCUCUCGCAUCGAUGAAGAACGCAGCGAAAUGCGAUAAGUAAUGUGAAUUGCAGAAUUCAGUGAAUCAUCGAAUCUUUGAACGCACCUUGCGCUCCUUGGUAUUCCGAGGAGCACGCCUGUUCGAGUGUCGUGGAAACUCUCAAGCUAGAUGCUUUAGUGUCAUCUACUUGGUUAUUGGACUCUGCUGUCUCCUUGUCUGGAACGGCUGGUCUCAAAUGUAUUAGCUGGUCCUUGUUGUGGGAUUUGGUUCUACUCAGCGUGAUAAUCUAUGACCGCUGAGGACAUCUCUCGGGAUGGCCAAGCCUGCCUUGGGCUGCUUCUAACUCAUCAUCAUGAUAUUUUUCAACUUUGACCUCGAAUCAGGCGGGACUACCCGCUGAACUUAAGCAUAUCAAUAAGCGGAGGAAAAGAAACUAACAAGGAUUCCCCUAGUAACGGCGAGUGAAGCGGGAUGAGCUCAAAUUUAAAAUCUGGCAGUCUUCGAUUGUCCGAGUUGUAAUCUAGAGAAGCGUUUUCCGCGCUGGACUGUGUACAAGUUUCCUGGAUACGGAACAUCAUAGAGGGUGAGAAUCCCGUCCUUGACACAGACUCCCAGUGCUCUGCGAUGCGCUCUCGACGAGUCGAGUUGUUUGGGAUUGCAGCUCAAAAUGGGAGGUAAAUUCCUUCUAAAGCUAAAUAUUGGCGAGAGACCGAUAGCGAACAAGUACCGUGAGGGAAAGAUGAAAAGCACUUUGGAAAGAGAGUUAAACAGUACGUGAAAUUGUUAAAAGGGAAACGAUUGAAGUCAGUCGCGUCCGCUUGGACUCAGCCUUACCUCGGUAGGGUGCAUUUCCUUGUGGACGGGCCAGCGUCCAUGUUGUCCGUCGGAAAAGGUGCGUGGGAAUGUGGCUUCUUCGGGAGUGUUAUAGCCCAUGUUCGCAUACGGCGGGUGAUAUGGAGUGGUACAGCAUGCUUCGGCGGUGCUUGUGCUGGCAUAAUGGCUUUAAACGACCCGUCUUGAAACACGGACCAAGGAGUCUAACAUGUCUGCGAGUGUUUGGGUGGAAAACCCGAGCGCGCAAUGAAAGUGAUAGCUGGGAACCCCUUUACGGGAGGCACCGGCGCCCCGAGCUGACCUUCUGUGACGCAUCGGAGGUAGAGCAUAUAUGUUGGGACCCGAAAGAUGGUGAACUAUGCCUGAAUAGGGCGAAGCCAGAGGAAACUCUGGGGGGAGGCUCGUAGCGAUUCUGACGUGCAAAUCGAUCGUCAAAUUUGGGUAUAGGGGCGAAAGACUAAUCGAACCAUCUAGUAGCUGGUUCCUGCCGAAGUUUCCCUCAGGAUAGCAGAAACUCGUAUCAGUUUUAUGUGGUAAAGCGAAUGAUUAGAGACCUUGGGGAUGAAACAUCCUUAAUCUAUUCUCAAACUUUAAAUAUGUAAGCUCAGGAUG
RNAcentral lists this ribosomal RNA (1660 nucleotides) under Sistotrema brinkmannii. RNAcentral describes it as "eukaryotic LSU rRNA". The stretch from base 584 to 1660 matches the Rfam family "Eukaryotic large subunit ribosomal RNA", at positions 1 to 1086 of the family's 3401-position model. The record is from RNAcentral. Lineage: Eukaryota; Fungi; Basidiomycota; Agaricomycetes; Cantharellales; Hydnaceae.